UGCUGUUACUCUCGGAAAAAGAUUACAACUCCCUGAAGGUUCAGAUGAUGGUUAGCAUUUUUUAUCAAUAAAGUAUUUUUUAAGUAACGUUAAGUACGUAUAUUUUUAGACAUAACAGUGCAUGCUUAAUAGACUACAGUAUAAUGUAAAUGUAACUUUUAUAUACGCUGGGAAACCAACAACUUUGUGACUCACUUUAUUGCUAUGUUUGGCUUUACUGCAGUGGUCUGGAACCAAACUUGCAAGGUGUCCAAGGUCUGCCUGUACACCACGUGGGCCUACAGCUACGGAACCUACAUCAUAUACGUCUAUACUCACGGAACCUGCAUCUAUGGAACGUACACCAUACGGACCUACAUUUAUGGAACCUACACCUAUGGACCUAUAUACCACAUGGACCUAUACCAUAUGGAGGAACCUACACCUAUGCAUCUACAGCUAUGAAAGCUACAUUUAUAUACCUACACCCCCUGGAACCAUAUGGUCAGCAUGUCGAUAUGGAGUGAUGUGGAACCAUCCCAAGACUUACCGUUAAGUAAAGAAAGAGCUAUACAUGUGAAAGGGAGACCCUGUGCUCCCAGCUGUGCAAAGCGUGUUCCCACAUGCACAGUAGCAUCCGGAAGAACAUACAAAAAAAAUCUCCCAAGAGCGGCCUCCGCUGGGGGAGUU
Long non-coding RNA from Aethalodelphis obliquidens (Pacific white-sided dolphin), 669 nucleotides. RefSeq lists it as uncharacterized. The record is from RefSeq and is a predicted model, not a curated record. The transcript is spliced from 3 exons. NCBI's taxonomy places the organism in Eukaryota, Metazoa, Chordata, Mammalia, Artiodactyla, Delphinidae.